CAGUCGCCGCGGGAAUACAGAGGGUGCGAGCGUUAAUCGGAUUUACUGGGCGUAAAGCGUGCGUAGGCGGCUUUUUAAGUCGGAUGUGAAAUCCCUGAGCUUAACUUAGGAAUUGCAUUCGAUACUGGGAAGCUAGAGUAUGGGAGAGGAUGGUAGAAUUCCAGGUGUAGCGGUGAAAUGCGUAGAGAUCUGGAGGAAUACCGAUGGCGAAGGCAGCCAUCUGGCCUAAUACUGACGCUGAGGCACGAAAGCAUGGGGAGCAAACAGGAUUAGAUACCCCCGUAGUCCCUGUCUCUUAUCC
This 301-nucleotide ribosomal RNA is filed under the name uncultured bacterium. RNAcentral's name for it is "partial 16S ribosomal RNA". It matches the Rfam family "Bacterial small subunit ribosomal RNA", at positions 509 to 809 of the family's 1533-position model. The record is from RNAcentral.